RNAcentral lists this ribosomal RNA (460 nucleotides) under uncultured bacterium. Its description in RNAcentral is "partial 16S ribosomal RNA". It matches the Rfam family "Bacterial small subunit ribosomal RNA", at positions 338 to 795 of the family's 1533-position model. The record is from RNAcentral.
CCUACGUGUGGCAGCAGUGAGGAAUAUUGGUCAAUGGGCGGGAGCCUGAACCAGCCAAGUCGCGUGAGGGAAGACGGUCCUAUGGAUUGUAAACCUCUUUAGGCGGGGAGCAAUGCCGGGCACGCGUGCCCGGAGGUAGAGUACCCGCAGAAUAAGCAUCGGCUAACUCCGUGCCAGCAGCCGCGGUAAUACGGAGGAUGCGGGCGUUAUCCGGAGUUAUUGGGUUUAAAGGGUGCGUAGGCGGAUUUUUAAGUCAGCGGUAAAAUGUCGGGGCUCAACCCGGGCCGGCCGUUGAACCUGGGGAGCUUGAGUGGGCGAGAAGUAUGCGGAAUGCGUGGUGUAGCGGUGAAAUGCAUAGAUAUCACGAAGAACACCGAUGGCGAAGGCAGCAUACCGGCGCCCGACUGACGCUGAGGCACGAAAGCGUGGGGAUCGAACAGGAUUAGAUACCCGGGUAGUC